CGGUUGAUCCCGCCGGACCUGACUGCUAUCGGAUUGGUACUAAGCCAUGCGAGUCAUUGUAGCAAUACAAGGCGGACGGCUCAGUAACACGUAGUCAACCUAACCUAUGGACGUGGAUAACCUCGGGAAACUGAGAAUAAACCACGAUAGAUCAUGAUGCCUGGAAUGGCUUAUGGUUCAAACAAUUUAUUGCCAUAGGAUGGGACUGCGGCCUAUCAGCUUGUUGGUGAGGUAAUGGCCCACCAAGGCUAUAACAGGUACGGGCUCUGAGAGGAGAAGCCCGGAGAUGGGUACUGAGACACGGACCCAGGCCCUAUGGGGCGCAGCAGGCGAGAAACCUUAGCAAUGUGCGAAAGCACGACUGGGUCAGUCCGAGUGAUUCCUGAUAAAGGAGUCUUUUGCCUGUCCUAAAAGCACAGGUGAAUAAGGGGUGGGCAAGUCUGGUGUCAGCCGCCGCGGUAAUACCAGCACCUCGAGUGGUCAGGACGUUUAUUGGGCCUAAAGCAUCCGUAGCCGGCUCUGCAAGUCUUCGGUUAAAUCCACCUGCUCAACAGAUGGGCCGCUGGAGAUACUACAGAGCUAGGGAGUGGGAGAGGCAGACGGUAUUCAGUGGGUAGGGGGUAAAAUCCUCUGAUCCAUUGAGGACCACCAGUGGCGAAAGCGGUCUGCCAGAACACGUUCGACGGUGAGGGGUGAAAGCUGGGGGAGCAAACCGGAUUAGAUACCCGGGUAGUCCCAGCUGUAAACGAUGCAAACUCGGUGAUGCAUUGGCUUAUGGCCAAUGCAGUGCCGCAGGGAAGCCGUUUAAGUUUGCCGCCUGGGAAGUACGGACGCAAGUCUGAAACUUAAAGGAAUUGGCGGGGGAGCA
Molecule: ribosomal RNA, 868 nt
Filed under: uncultured archaeon
Lineage: Archaea
Description: bacterial SSU rRNA
Rfam family: Archaeal small subunit ribosomal RNA
Source: RNAcentral